This is a transfer RNA of Pleurotus ostreatus PC15, 87 nucleotides long. It matches the Rfam family "tRNA". From Rfam's summary of the family: Transfer RNA (tRNA) molecules are approximately 80 nucleotides in length. NCBI's taxonomy places the organism in Eukaryota, Fungi, Basidiomycota, Agaricomycetes, Agaricales, Pleurotaceae. The record is from Rfam.
UGCCCCGUGGCUUAGUUGGUUACGGCGUCCGACUGUUAUUUCUCUUGUGACAUCGGAAGAUCGAGAGUUCAAGUCUCUCCGGGGCAG